Molecule: transfer RNA, 72 nt
Filed under: Myotis lucifugus (little brown bat)
Lineage: Eukaryota; Metazoa; Chordata; Mammalia; Chiroptera; Vespertilionidae
Rfam family: tRNA
About the family: Transfer RNA (tRNA) molecules are approximately 80 nucleotides in length. Their secondary structure includes four short double-helical elements and three loops (D, anti-codon, and T loops). Further hydrogen bonds mediate the characteristic L-shaped molecular structure. tRNAs have two regions of fundamental functional importance: the anti-codon, which is responsible for specific mRNA codon recognition, and the 3' end, to which the tRNAs corresponding amino acid is attached (by aminoacyl-tRNA synthetases). tRNAs cope with the degeneracy of the genetic code in two manners: having more than one tRNA (with a specific anti-codon) for a particular amino acid; and 'wobble' base-pairing, i.e. permitting non-standard base-pairing at the 3rd anti-codon position.
Source: Rfam by way of RNAcentral
GCCGAUGUGGCUCAGUGGACAGGGUGUCAGCCCUGGAACUGAAGGCUCCGGGUUCGACUCCUGUCAAGGGCA